GCAUUGCUUGCGCUAUAAGAGACAAACAAGGGGAAAAACAGAACAUAGAAAAAAAAAACGAGAUAAAAGAUUAGAGAAAACGAGGGAGAGAGAGAGAGAGAGAGAGGAAGGGAAGAAGAAGGCGGAUACAAGCAAAUAAAAUCCGCGUUAAGACAGUAAGCAAACGAACGGCAUUUGCGGUGUAAAUGCGGCUUAAAGAUUGACGCCGCACGAAACAAGCUCGCCCACUCUCAUCGGGCGGAAAACUGCGCUAUCAUCCUUCUACACCACAAUGAUCUUGACAGUGACCGUAGCGAUCAAUGGCGCCGUCAAUUAGGCGAAUCGCGUACUCGGGUUUAUGGCCAACGUAUCGAGGACGCCGAGCCACGCGUUAUCCUGGAAAUUUGACGACUACUAUCAACGUCCAUGUAACAUGGUUCACGCGCUUCUUUCAUUCUACUCUGCGUCUCAGUUCGAAAACUGGAUAUGACCCACUGAGGACUACGCGCAGAAAUAAAACGAAAAUCGGUCGAGUAACGUGAACUGACCUCUGCUUUGCCGCUCCUCAUCGAUUUUCUGAACAUACGUCAAUACGAAGUACGCCAGACACGUAUUCAUGGAAUUAAAUACUACCUUCUUUUUCAAUAGUCGAUAAAUAGAAAUUUCUGUCAGUUUGUAUAGCAGCCAUGUUAAAUAUGUAAGGAAUGAGAAAUAAGAUAUUUUCGGUACAAACGUGCUUAUCUCUAAAUAUUUUGAGGUUAGCUUCGGUAACUUUACGUUAUCUUUAUAUCGAGCAAUCUAAUGUAUAAUAUGCGAAAGCAAUGUAAACUGCGCAUUACUUAAUGCUUUAUCUGACAUUAAAUAUUAAAUAUUAAUAUUGUAUUGUCUUAUGUUCAAUGUAUUUCUACAAAAUUUGUAUCAACUAUGAAGAAUUCAUUUGAUACACUCAUUUAAUUAUUUGAUCGUACAAUUAGUAAAGGAUGUGACAAUUAUAUAAAAAAAGAAUUAAAGAAAAAAUUAAAAUGAAAUGUAUCUCAGAAAUGUAUAUGUUGAAAUCAUUAAUGCAUCACCUGGUAACUUUGUUUAUCACACCAGGGUAUAAUUCCAUUUCAUCUGUAUAUUAUGAUUGCUCAAUAAAAUUACAUAUAUAUUGCCAAUUGUAUAACUUCAAAAAUGUUUGAUCCUCGUACUUAAUAAGUAGAUGUAUCAUUAUAAUAAUCACACUGUAAAUAUAAUUAUGUUAAAUCUACUAUAUACAGCACAUAUUACUUCCAAAAAUUAUAAAAUAACAUGAUCAAAGAUAGUAUAUAUCUUACAUUCUCACAUCUUAAAGUCAUUGAAGAUAGAUUCGCUUAGUUGUAGCAUAGGAAAGCUUAUAUUAAGUCAGACACAACAUAUUCGUAUUAUUAUGUAAUAUCUCUGUAUAAUGGAUCCACUGAAUAAUCCAUCUCUGUAUAGAUGUUAUAAUAUUAUAGCUCAUACUAACUACAACAUCAACGAUGUUCAAAUAAAGCAAUAAAUUUAAUAGUAAUUCCAUAUAU
Molecule: unclassified non-coding RNA, 1520 nt
Filed under: Bombus terrestris (buff-tailed bumblebee)
Lineage: Eukaryota; Metazoa; Arthropoda; Insecta; Hymenoptera; Apidae
Description: misc RNA ENSBTSG00005036314.1
Source: RNAcentral